Molecule: ribosomal RNA, 266 nt
Filed under: uncultured soil bacterium
Lineage: Bacteria
Description: partial 16S ribosomal RNA
Rfam family: Bacterial small subunit ribosomal RNA
Source: RNAcentral
AGAGUGAACGCUGGCGGUAGGCCUAACACAUGCAAGUCGAACGGCAGCACAGUAGGAGCUUGCUCUUACGGGUGGCGAGUGGCGGACGGGUGAGGAAUACAUCGGAAUCUACCUUUUGGUGGGGGAUAACGUAGGGAAACUUACGCUAAUACCGCAUACGCCCUUCGGGGGAAAGCCGGGGACCAGCAAUGGCCUGGCGCUGAUAGAUGAGCCGAUGUCGGAUUAGCUAGUUGGUGAGGUAAUGGCUCACCAAGGCGACGAUCCGU